CGGCAGCACGGGAGCAAUCCUGGUGGCGAGUGGCGAACGGGUGAGUAAUACAUCGGAACGUGUCCUGUAGUGGGGGAUAGCCCGGCGAAAGCCGGAUUAAUACCGCAUACGCUCUACGGAGGAAAGGGGGGGAUCUUAGGACCUCUCGCUACAGGGGCGGCCGAUGGCAGAUUAGCUAGUUGGUGGGGUAAAGGCCUACCAAGGCGACGAUCUGUAGCUGGUCUGAGAGGACGACCAGCCACACUGGGACUGAGACACGGCCCAGACUCCUACGGGAGGCAGCAGUGGGGAAUUUUGGACAAUGGGCGCAAGCCUGAUCCAGCAAUGCCGCGUGUGUGAAGAAGGCCUUCGGGUUGUAAAGCACUUUUGUCCGGAAAGAAAACUUCCUGGUUAAUACCCGGGGAGGAUGACGGUACCGGAAGAAUAAGCACCGGCUAACUACGUGCCAGCAGCCGCGGUAAUACGUAGGGUGCAAGCGUUAAUCGGAAUUACUGGGCGUAAAGCGUGCGCAGGCGGUCCGCUAAGACAGAUGUGAAAUCCCCGGGCUUAACCUGGGAACUGCAUUUGUGACUGGCGGGCUAGAGUAUGGCAGAGGGGGGUAGAAUUCCACGUGUAGCAGUGAAAUGCGUAGAGAUGUGGAGGA
RNAcentral lists this ribosomal RNA (643 nucleotides) under uncultured Burkholderia sp. Its description in RNAcentral is "bacterial SSU rRNA". It matches the Rfam family "Bacterial small subunit ribosomal RNA", at positions 67 to 705 of the family's 1533-position model. The record is from RNAcentral. Lineage: Bacteria; Pseudomonadati; Pseudomonadota; Betaproteobacteria; Burkholderiales; Burkholderiaceae.